RNAcentral lists this ribosomal RNA (492 nucleotides) under uncultured bacterium. RNAcentral's name for it is "partial 16S ribosomal RNA". It matches the Rfam family "Bacterial small subunit ribosomal RNA", at positions 29 to 507 of the family's 1533-position model. The record is from RNAcentral.
AGUGAACGCUGGCGGUAGGCCUAACACAUGCAAGUCGAACGGCAGCACAGUAAGAGCUUGCUCUUACGGGUGGCGAGUGGCGGACGGGUGAGGAAUACAUCGGAAUCUACUUUUUCGUGGGGGAUAACGUAGGGAAACUUACGCUAAUACCGCAUACGACCUACGGGUGAAAGCAGGGGAUCUUCGGACCUUGCCCGAUUGAAUGAGCCGAUGUCGGAUUAGCUAGUUGGCGGGGUAAAGGCCCACCAAGGCGACGAUCCGUAGCUGGUCUGAGAGGAUGAUCAGCCACACUGGAACUGAGACACGGUCCAGACUCCUACGGGAGGCAGCAGUGGGGAAUAUUGGACAAAGGGCGCAAGCCUGAUCCAGCCAUACCGCGUGGGUGAAGAAGGCCUUCGGGUUGUAAAGCCCUUUUGUUGGGAAAGAAAAGCAGCAGGUUAAUACCCCGCUGUUCUGACGGUACCCAAAGAAUAAGCACCGGCUAACUUCGUG